UCACGGAUUCUUCUCCAUGGAGAAUCAAAUAACCCCCUUUCCACACCAAGCAGAUACAACAUAUAUAAUUAGAAACGGCGCAAAAAAAACUUCAGUUGCCAAAGUGCUCAAUGUUCUGGUGUUGUUGGGAACAUUGGUAUAUGGAUGUCAAUACAUGCUAAUGUUCGAGUAUCAGGUGUAGCAAGGUGGUAUGUUCAGUGUUAUUAAAGGCGCGGUUAAGCCCUGAAAUGAGACUCAAAACAUGUUAAGCAUUUUGCCUCACUUUGUGGGCGCUUCAGUGUUGUCAUCAAGGCUCUAAGGCAUAUUUUUCCUUGCCAAUGAGCGUAAUCUUGAAGAGAUGAUACUAAACAAUUGAUAUUUUACUUUAUCGUAAAUUUUCUUCAAUUUCUUUGUCCGUAUAUUUGGUAUUCAUGCAUAUAGAUAUUAGUCUUGGACUACACAUACAUAUUUAUCAUUUUUCUCCAUUAGCGCCUUUCUUCAUUAAAGUCCACGCUCUUUUUGCGCUUUGUGCUUAAAGCCCCAACAGACCUUAAAGUUUUUUUGCGCUUUUCGCCUUUGAUAACACUGGGUAUAUUCGAGAGGCUUUGCAGGCUCUUUUGUUCACGUCUCAAAAUAAUUUCAACAGGAGCGACACUAAGGUCCUUUGUUGUAUAAAUUGAAUUGAGAUCUUUUGAAGGUAGAUAGUUGUUCGUGUUGGUAAAUUUUCAGCAUUGAUAGUCGUUGAAAUGGAUGUAACGGGUGUUUCCAUCCUUUAUGCAACUUUGAAUGAGUGGUUGGGGGUGGAUUCAACUGGAGCAAUAAAGGCAACAUAUUGUAAGAAAAGUUACCUUAAGCAUGCAACAAAGAACUUUGCCUCAGCUGUAAAGGAACAUGUAGCUUCUGAUGAAGGUGUUUUCAAUUGGUACAACAACA
This is a long non-coding RNA of Nicotiana tabacum (common tobacco), 912 nucleotides long. RefSeq lists it as uncharacterized. NCBI's taxonomy places the organism in Eukaryota, Viridiplantae, Streptophyta, Magnoliopsida, Solanales, Solanaceae. The record is from RefSeq and is a predicted model, not a curated record.